Non-coding RNA from Scophthalmus maximus (turbot), 273 nucleotides. Ensembl annotates it as small Cajal body-specific RNA 6. Its record names the gene SCARNA6. Lineage: Eukaryota; Metazoa; Chordata; Actinopteri; Pleuronectiformes; Scophthalmidae. The record is from Ensembl.
GGUCAGUGAUGUCAUGUAAAAGGUCUGAAUUUCAGCCCCUCCCCCUUAGCCACCAUUUUGGCUCCCAGCAGCCCCUCUGUUCCCAUCAUGCUCUAGUGGUGCAGUGGUGGUCCCAGGAGCUGCUGACAGACAGGAAGUGACAUCACAAUGUGAGUCUGUACAGAGAUCGUAUAGGCUCAGUGUGAUGACUGACAUCCAACAGAACCAAUCACCAUGGAGCGUAAGGCUGAGGGGGCAGGGCUUGAGACAUGAUCUCGCUUUUCUACUGAGGCC